Molecule: ribosomal RNA, 1369 nt
Filed under: 'Cocos nucifera' lethal wilt phytoplasma
Lineage: Bacteria; Bacillati; Mycoplasmatota; Mollicutes; Acholeplasmatales; Acholeplasmataceae
Description: bacterial SSU rRNA
Rfam family: Bacterial small subunit ribosomal RNA
Source: RNAcentral
AAUUAAACUUUAGUGGCGAACGGGUGAGUAACGCGUAAGCAAUCUGCCCCUAAGACGAGGAUAACAGUUGGAAACGACUGCUAAGACUGGAUAGGAGACAAGAAGGCAUCUUCUUGUUUUUAAAAGACCUAGCAAUAGGUAUGCUUAGGGAGGAGCUUGCGUCACAUUAGUUAGUUGGUGGGGUAAAGGCCUACCAAGACUAUGAUGUGUAGCCGGGCUGAGAGGUUGAACGGCCACAUUGGGACUGAGACACGGCCCAAACUCCUACGGGAGGCAGCAGUAGGGAAUUUUCGGCAAUGGAGGAAACUCUGACCGAGCAACGCCGCGUGAACGAUGAAGUAUUUCGGUACGUAAAGUUCUUUUAUUAGGGAAGAAUAAAUGAUGGAAAAAUCAUUCUGACGGUACCUAAUGAAUAAGCCCCGGCUAACUAUGUGCCAGCAGCCGCGGUAAUACAUAGGGGGCAAGCGUUAUCCGGAAUUAUUGGGCGUAAAGGGUGCGUAGGCGGUUAAAUAAGUUUAUGGUCUAAGUGCAAUGCUCAACAUUGUGAUGCUAUAAAAACUGUUUAGCUAGAGUAAGAUAGAGGCAAGUGGAAUUCCAUGUGUAGUGGUAAAAUGCGUAAAUAUAUGGAGGAACACCAGUAGCGAAGGCGGCUUGCUGGGUCUUUACUGACGCUGAGGCACGAAAGCGUGGGGAGCAAACAGGAUUAGAUACCCUGGUAGUCCACGCCGUAAACGAUGAGUACUAAACGUUGGGUAAAACCAGUGUUGAAGUUAACACAUUAAGUACUCCGCCUGAGUAGUACGUACGCAAGUAUGAAACUUAAAGGAAUUGACGGGACUCCGCACAAGCGGUGGAUCAUGUUGUUUAAUUCGAAGGUACCCGAAAAACCUCACCAGGUCUUGACAUGCUUCUGCAAAGCUGUAGAAACACAGUGGAGGUUAUCAGUUGCACAGGUGGUGCAUGGUUGUCGUCAGCUCGUGUCGUGAGAUGUUGGGUUAAGUCCCGCAACGAGCGCAACCCUUAUUGUUAGUUACCAGCACGUAAUGGUGGGGACUUUAGCAAGACUGCCAGUGAUAAAUUGGAGGAAGGUGGGGAUGACGUCAAAUCAUCAUGCCCCUUAUGACCUGGGCUACAAACGUGAUACAAUGGCUGUUACAAAGGGUAGCUGAAGCGCAAGUUUUUGGCGAAUCUCAAAAAAACAGUCUCAGUUCGGAUUGAAGUCUGCAACUCGACUUCAUGAAGUUGGAAUCGCUAGUAAUCGCGAAUCAGCAUGUCGCGGUGAAUACGUUCUCGGGGUUUGUACACACCGCCCGUCAAACCACGAAAGUUGGCAAUACCCAAAGCCGGUGGCCUAACUUCGCAAGAAGAU